This 1461-nucleotide ribosomal RNA is filed under the name metagenome. RNAcentral's name for it is "bacterial LSU rRNA". It matches the Rfam family "Bacterial large subunit ribosomal RNA", at positions 1472 to 2908 of the family's 2925-position model. The record is from RNAcentral.
ACGGAGAAGGCUAUGUUGGCCGGGCGACGGUUGUCCCGGUUUAAGCGUGUAGGCUGGUUUUCCAGGCAAAUCCGGAAAAUCAAGGCUGAGGCGUGAUGACGAGGCACUACGGUGCUGAAGCAACAAAUGCCCUGCUUCCAGGAAAAGCCUCUAAGCAUCAGGUAACAUCAAAUCGUACCCCAAACCGACACAGGUGGUCAGGUAGAGAAUACCAAGGCGCUUGAGAGAACUCGGGUGAAGGAACUAGGCAAAAUGGUGCCGUAACUUCGGGAGAAGGCACGCUGAUAUGUAGGUGAGGUCCCUCGCGGAUGGAGCUGAAAUCAGUCGAAGAUACCAGCUGGCUGCAACUGUUUAUUAAAAACACAGCACUGUGCAAACACGAAAGUGGACGUAUACGGUGUGACGCCUGCCCGGUGCCGGAAGGUUAAUUGAUGGGGUUAGCGCAAGCGAAGCUCUUGAUCGAAGCCCCGGUAAACGGCGGCCGUAACAAUAACGGUCCUAAGGUAGCGAAAUUCCUUGUCGGGUAAGUUCCGACCUGCACGAAUGGCGUAAUGAUGGCCAGGCUGUCUCCACCCGAGACUCAGUGAAAUUGAACUCGCUGUGAAGAUGCAGUGUACCCGCGGCAAGACGGAAAGACCCCGUGAACCUUUACUAUAGCUUGACACUGAACAUUGAGCCUUGAUGUGUAGGAUAGGUGGGAGGCUUUGAAGUGUGGACGCCAGUCUGCAUGGAGCCGGCCUUGAAAUACCACCCUUUAAUGUUUGAUGUUCUAACGUUGACCCGUAAUCCGGGUUGCGGACAGUGUCUGGUGGGUAGUUUGACUGGGGCGGUCUCCUCCUAAAGAGUAACGGAGGAGCACGAAGGUUGGCUAAUCCUGGUCGGACAUCAGGAGGCUAGUGCAAUGGCAUAAGCCAGCUUGACUGCGAGCGUGACGGCGCGAGCAGGUGCGAAAGCAGGUCAUAGUGAUCCGGUGGUUCUGAAUGGAAGGGCCAUCGCUCAACGGAUAAAAGGUACUCCGGGGAUAACAGGCUGAUACCGCCCAAGAGUUCAUAUCGACGGCGGUGUUUGGCACCUCGAUGUCGGCUCAUCACAUCCUGGGGCUGAAGUAGGUCCCAAGGGUAUGGCUGUUCGCCAUUUAAAGUGGUACGCGAGCUGGGUUUAGAACGUCGUGAGACAGUUCGGUCCCUAUCUGCCGUGGGCGCUGGAGAACUGAGGGGGGCUGCUCCUAGUACGAGAGGACCGGAGUGGACGCAUCACUGGUGUUCGGGUUGUCAUGCCAAUGGCACUGCCCGGUAGCUAAAUGCGGAAGAGAUAAGUGCUGAAAGCAUCUAAGCACGAAACUUGCCCCGAGAUGAGUUCUCCCUGACCCUUUAAGGGUCCUGAAGGAACGUUGAAGACGACGACGUUGAUAGGCCGGGUGUGUAAGCGCAGCGAUGCGUUGAGCUAACCGGUACUAAUGAA